CUGUCUCAAUUUUAUUAAAUUANAAAUUUAUUUUUAAGUUAAAAAGCUUAAAUAUUUAUAAAAGACGAGAAGACCCUAUAGAGUUUUAUAUAGGAUAUUUUAUUGAUUUUUAGGGAUUUUUAGGUCAUUAAAAUAAUUAUAUUUUGUUGGGGCGAUAGAAAAAUUAAAAAAACUUUUUUUUUAUUUUUACAUUGAUUUAUGAAUAUAUGAUCCAUUAUUUAUGAUUAUAAGAUUAAAUUACCUUAGGGAUAACAGCGUAAUUUUUUUUAAGAGUUCAAAUCGAAAAAGAAGAUUGCGACCUCGAUGUUGGAUUAAAAU
RNAcentral lists this ribosomal RNA (318 nucleotides) under Paraegidium costalimai. RNAcentral's name for it is "partial 16S ribosomal RNA". Lineage: Eukaryota; Metazoa; Arthropoda; Insecta; Coleoptera; Scarabaeidae. The record is from RNAcentral.